AAAAAAAAAAAAAAAAAAACCUCCUCACAUCCUCAAGUCCAUAUCAUUUUAAGAGGUAGAUAUAAGAGGAAGAAGACGAGGGGGACGAAGGUCGUGGAGGAGAGAGCUGGGAAGGAGAGGGCUGGAUAGAAAAUUAAAAAGAAACAAAAUAAUAUUUUUAUUCUUAUUAAGAGAGAGGGGUAAAAGAGUAAUUUUAAUUAUUUUUAACCUAUAAAUCUGCUAUUGCAAUUCAAAGUGACUUUUCUGAAAAUGGAACUUAAGUUGAGUGAUUUUAUUUUAAGAAAUUAAAGUUUGGGGAUGAAAAUGAAAAGAUCCCCUAAGUUCAGGGACGGUUGGUGCAAGUAAGCCCAAGAAAGGUAAAUGGACAUGCUGGCUUGAAAUUGGACAAUUUCUGUUGUGGUGAAUUGACUUGAAAUUGAUAACAAUGUGUUUCCUACUAUAAAAGUUUUCAAUAUAGCUAUUUUAGAUCUAAUAAAACAUAGAGAUGAACUUGUUGUUCACGAUCCAGUCUAAUCAGUAGAUGGUUUAAAGCAGGCAACUGACUUAGGAAGGGAUAGGCAUGGGAUAGAAAAGUUAGGAAUUUAACCUUGAUUUUGUGGAAUUCAGUACAGGAUUGAGCAUAAGUGACCUAUCAUUGUUUUACUAAUUAAGCCUUAAGCUUUACUAACUUUUGGCUCUUUCUCUCUUUUUUACUUGUUUUUUCUUUUGGUGUUUCUACCACAACCCCUUUUGGCAUAUUUUCAAGUUAUUUUUAUCUAUAAAAAAUGAAGAAAAUUAAACAUGUAAUAAAAGAAUAUUAGAACUAAAAGGACUCAAGAAUCAGGGUUCAGGGACUAUCAAACCCAGCAAUCUUAAUAUGAUGUAUUGUCAUGCAGACAGGUUGUAACACAUAUAGCACUGUUGGAAGUAUCAUGUUUUGUAUCCUACUGUUUAAUAUUGCUGCAGCCGCUUGCAGGUUUUCUGAAUUUUUGUGCAUUUGCAUUGUACUGUGGCAGGUAUUCUGUAUCUUUUGUUUCCA
This 1018-nucleotide unclassified non-coding RNA is filed under the name Hevea brasiliensis (rubber tree). The record is from RNAcentral. Lineage: Eukaryota; Viridiplantae; Streptophyta; Magnoliopsida; Malpighiales; Euphorbiaceae.